AGUGGAUGGGGAGCAACCUAGUUGUGCGUGUGUAAAGGUAGUGCCAAGAAAAGCGGUGAUCAUGAUGAAAAUCAAUUCCCGGUACCCGAAACCGACACAGGUGGGCAAGUAGAGAAUACUAAGGGGCGCGAGGUAACUCUCUCCAAGGAACUCGGCAAAAUGACCCCGUAACUUAGGGAGAAGGGGUGCCACCGAGAGGUGGUCGCAGUGAAGAGGCCCAGGCGACUGUUUAGCAAAAACAUAGGUCUCUGCAAACUCGAAAGAGGAGGUAUAGGGGCUGACGCCUGCCCAGUGCCGGAAGGUUAAAGAAGUUGGUCAGUCUUAGGAUGAAGCUAGCGACUGAAGCCCCGGUGAACGGCGGCCGUAACUAUAACGGUCCUAAGGUAGCGAAAUUCCUUGUCGGGUAAGUUCCGACCCGCACGAAAGGCGUAACGAUCUGGGCGCUGUCUCGGAGAGAGGCUCGGCGAAAUAGGAUUGUCUGUGAAGAUACGGACUACCUGCAUUUGGACAGAAAGACCCUAUGAAGCUUUACUAUAGCUUGGAAUUGUGUUCGGGCUUCCUGUGCGCAGGAUAGGUGGGAGGCGAAGAAGGUAUUCUUGUGGGGAUACUGGAGCCAACGGUGAGAUACCACUCUCAGGAGGCUAGAAUUCUAACUUAAUUAAGGACAGUUUCAGGUGGGUAGUUUGACUGGGGCGGUCGCCUCCAAAAAGGUAACGGAGGCGUACAAAGGUUCCCUCAGACUGGUUGGAAAUCAGUCGCAGAGUGCAAAGGCAGAAGGGAGCUUGACUGCGAGAAGUACAGUUCGAGCAGGGUGGAAACACGGUCUUAGUGAUCCGACGGUGCUGUGUGGAAGGGCCGUCGCUCAACGGAUAAAAGUUACUCUAGGAUAACAGGCUGAUCUCCCCCAAGAGUUCACAUCGACGGGGAGGUUUGGCACCUCGAUGUCGGCUCAUCGCAACCUGGGGCGGAAGUACGUCCCAAGGGUUGGGCUGUUCGCCCAUUAACGCGGUACGUGAGCUGGGUUCAGAACGUCGUGAGACAGUUCGGUCCAUAUCCGAUGUAGGCGUGAGAAUAUUGAGAGGAGCCUUCCUUAGUACGAGAGGACCGGGAAGGACGCACCGCUGGUGUACCUGUUAUGAUGCCAAUUGUAAACGCAGGGUAGCCAAGUGCGGAGAGGAUAACCGCUGAAAGCAUCUAAGUGGGAAGCCCACCUCAAGAUGAGUAUUCUGGUGUAAGGUCACGGGAAGACGACCCGUAAAUAGGCACGAGGUGGAAGUGCAGAGAUGUAUGAAGCCGAAGUGUACUAAUAGACCGUCGGCUUGAC
RNAcentral lists this ribosomal RNA (1324 nucleotides) under metagenome. RNAcentral's name for it is "bacterial LSU rRNA". It matches the Rfam family "Bacterial large subunit ribosomal RNA", at positions 1561 to 2925 of the family's 2925-position model. The record is from RNAcentral.